UACGGAGGGGGCUAGCGUUGUUCGGAAUUACUGGGCGUAAAGCGCACGUAGGCGGCUUUGUAAGUUAGAGGUGAAAGCCCGGGGCUCAACUCCGGAAUUGCCUUUAAGACUGCAUCGCUAGAAUUGUGGAGAGGUAAGUGGAAUUCCGAGUGUAGAGGUGAAAUUCGUAGAUAUUCGGAAGAACACCGGUGGCGAAGGCGACUUACUGGACACAUAUUGACGCUGAGGUGCGAAAGCGUGGGGAGCAAACAGG
RNAcentral lists this ribosomal RNA (253 nucleotides) under uncultured bacterium. RNAcentral describes it as "partial 16S ribosomal RNA". It matches the Rfam family "Bacterial small subunit ribosomal RNA", at positions 524 to 776 of the family's 1533-position model. The record is from RNAcentral.